Sceloporus undulatus (fence lizard) is the source of this 120-nucleotide small nucleolar RNA. RefSeq annotates it as small nucleolar RNA SNORA17. Lineage: Eukaryota; Metazoa; Chordata; Lepidosauria; Squamata; Phrynosomatidae. The transcript has a single exon. The record is from RefSeq and is a predicted model, not a curated record.
GAUUUGUCCAUAGGGGUUUUGCCUUUGGCUGAGAAAUUGGGAUUUGCCUAAUGCAAUUCAGUGGGUUGCAUAGUUGAAUGGGAUUCAAACCCUGGUCUCCCAGAGUUGCAAUCCAAUACU